Molecule: long non-coding RNA, 14613 nt
Filed under: Triticum aestivum (bread wheat)
Lineage: Eukaryota; Viridiplantae; Streptophyta; Magnoliopsida; Poales; Poaceae
Description: long non-coding RNA (TAES_LNC021986)
Source: RNAcentral
GAAAUUAAAAAGACAAGAACAUAUAUAUAACUAUCUAACAUGAACAGUGGGAAGAAACAAGAACUUGAGCUAAUACAUGGACUACAAAACUGAAUAUAUUUCUGCAGAAAAGGGAAGACACUGUGACGACACAUACAUGAACUGGAAUUACGUAAAUUCAGUGCAAGUGACAAGCAUACAUGUACCACACGGUUGACAAAUAUAACAUUCACGAACUUAUUUUAUAUAGAUGCAUCAACUAGUCAGAUCCCAGAAAACAAACACUAUAUUAUACAAGUACUAAACAGAGCAAACAGCUGUUUACAUGUACUCUUCAAAUCUGAACCUUACAAGUCUUGAACAUCUCUCAAUACUAUAGAAUUUCAGAGAGAGAGAGAGAGAGAGAGAAGGCAACAGCAGGAGGUUGAGAGAGAAGAAGCAGUAGCAGGGGGCGUUGAGAGGAGGGAGAAGGAGCAGCGGGGCAAAGGAAGAUGGAGUAGCAGCAACGACUUGGAGUUUGGAGAUGGAGAAGGAGCAGAACAACAGCGUGGUAGGGGAAAGUAGAAGAGCAGCAGCAAUAGGGAUUCAGAGAGGAGGCGAGCUUGGAGAAGGAUAGCAGCAGGGAGAGUUGUAGAUGAGCAGCAGCAGUAGCGCGGGGGAGAAGGAGCAGCAGACAGGGAUUCAGAGAAGCGAGGAAGAAGGGAAGAAGAAGCAGCGGCGGUGUGUCUGGCCGGGCACGCCAACUGGAGGGAGAGGUCGCGCAAGGUGGGCACUGGUGGUUGGCGCUGUGAUGGAUGGAUGAUGGUGUGGGUGGUGGAUGGCGCGGGUGAUGGUGGAGCAACGAGGUCGCCGAAGCGCGUCGCCACGAUGGCCUGGCCGCGGCGGCGGCCGGAGGUGGGAGAAGAAGUGGUGAGGGGGAGAGAGAUGGAGAUGCCAGCUCCCUUUGGGAAUGGAGGCUGCUAGGGAUUUUGAUCCCCUCCGAUCAGAUCUGAAUGUUUUCACUUUGGCCCUCCUUCUUCCUUCUUUUGGCACAAGAUGAUCCCUCAACUCCUUAAGCUAGCCCCCCUAAGCUUUAAUCUUCUUCAAGCUUGAGUCCCUCUUUCUUCUCUUCUUGCCCGUGAUCUUGUUCCUCAAUUCUUUCUAGACAGGAACUUGUAGAUUAUAGUGCCUUGUCGCACUUUUCUGCAAAAGAAACACAAUGACUAGUAAAUGAUUCAUUAUAUGAUUUCCAUGCAAAUAUUCAAUAUUUCACAUCAAGAAUUAAUGGUCAUAUCUCAAUAAACCGCAUAUUUGAGUGCCAAAAGAUGUAUAUGAAAUGUGCUUAUCAAGUUCCCCACACUCAAAUCUUUGCUUGUCCUCAAGCAAAGGCAUAUGACAAAAGCAAGAACAUGAACAGUGAACUGACUAGAGAAUGUCAAGUGAAGUAGAUCUCUAAACAGUGCAUGCUUUGGACUUGGCUAGUGAAAAUUAAUGGUUAAGAGUGCUACAUAUCAAUAGGACACUAGUAAACUCGACCAUUUUAAACUUUUGCAAUGAUAAACGAAGAUUAGCAAGUUCAAAUGCUGAUUGUGCCAAAGGGUUCCUAAAGAGAGCAUGAUCCCAAAAAAAACUUAUUACCAGGAACAUAACAUUAUGGUAGAAGCACUUAUUGAAUUUUAAGGAAGUAAUGGUAAUAUUUUAUUGAUCUCACCAAUGGAACAUACCACCGAUCCCGAGAACAUGGUAUACACCCGGCUUGGCCAAUUAUUAGUUUUUUUUAGUUUGUCUCCCCAAAGGAACAUACCACCGAUCCCGAGAACAUGGUAUACACCUUGUUCGACAAUUACAUUUCUAUAAUUAUUAAUUACUGCCCAAGCUAACCUGAUUUCACAUGCCACCGAUCCCGGGAACAUGACAUGCUACUGUAGGUAGCCAGACUUAUUUAUUCAUUAUUACUUAUCUUAAAUGAACAACACAUAAGAACAAAAACAGGAAUCAUCACUUCUCCAUGUCUGGUUCACAUGCUACCGAUCCAGGGAACAUAGCAUGCUAAUCCAUAGUGGUUAGGUGAUUGCUCUCAAUGGGAAGACACUUGGCACAAAUUCAGCAUCUAAACAUGGUGAUCUAGGUGUAUCAUAGUAAAUGCAGAAAAUGACGAAGUUUUCUAGUGUACUAGGGAUUUGAGCACUCAAAACUAGUAGUUCUCACUAAUUUUAGCAAAGCAUGCAUGGUGUAGAUCACUAGUUUACAAGGCAUCCAAAAAUCAAGUUCACAAAUUCACAUCAAGCACAAUGCCAAAGGUGAGAUUCAGCUUGACAACAAGUAAUAACUGGCUCAAGCAACCCAACUAGCAAUUGAAUUCAGCAUGUAUUUAUGAUAUUCAGAAUGGGUCAUGAAACAGCUCACCGGGCUUAAUGAAGUAGCACUCGCUUGAUCACCUCACCAACUGCAGCUCUUCUCCUUUUCCUUCCUUAUGGAUGCUCCAGCUUCACUCUUCUUCGUGUGUGCCCCAUUGCUUCUCCUCAUCGCCAUGCUCUGACUCCACCAGGAUCCCAAGGAAUGUCACCUCAAACCUGGUCAGCAUGUAGUAAACAGUGCAGUAGCAAAAGCCUGAAAUAGGACUCACACAAACAACUAUAAGUGAUACGGUCGAUGCCCUCCAAGUCAUCAAUGGUAUAUCCAAUUAUAUAAGCAUAACUAUAAAGCACAUGUUUAGGAUGGCAGAAAUCAGCAUGGUCAAUACUCACACGAGGAUGACAUUUAUCAUUAAGCUCAAGACUAGCAUGGAAAUGAUGUGUUUCAUUAAGCAUAGGACUAGCACGAGGAAAGUAACUAUGAUCAUCGCAAAUGAGAGUAAUGCCACUAACAGGGUAUAUAUCAUCAUAUCCAAGCAAAUGAGUUUUCAAAUCAAUCUUAAGUGAUGGUAUCAUGUAAUGCAAGGUGGUAGCAAAGAAAUCACAAGGCAUCAUGUCAUCAAGAGGAUUGAGUAAACCUGACACAUCACGCUCUGGUAUGACAAUAGGCAAAUGAAUCUCAUGUUCUUCAUCUUCAUCUACAGCAGCUUCUUGUACUUCUUCAGGAGUAAUAGAUGAUGAGUCUUCAACUUGAUCACUUGGGAAUUGCAGCUCUUGACCAUCUUGUUCCUUGUCUUCUAGUUCAUCUUCUUCAAUCUGAGGUAUCUCUUGCUCAAGGCACUUGCUAUCUUGCUCAACGAAAUGUGAAGGUGCUGGAACCUCACAUGUAACCAUGGAUAUCUCAGCCACACUCAACUCAAGUUGUGAAGAAAUAGUGCUGCCAGCGUUGAUGUUCUUCUCAAUCUUCCUUACUUCUUCCACUAGCUCUUUUCCACUCUUGAUCUUCUUCAUUUCAUCUAGUAUAACCUUCCUAAUAGGAUCAUCCUCGGCACUCCAACUAAACUCGAGACUAAGCAAUGUGAUCUUUCUAUAUCAUCAAAUUCAUCUUGUGUGGGCACUUGCACAUGAGAUUGCUCGAAAGGUGCUGGAGUUGUUGGUUGACCAAAUGGAGGACCAUUUAACUCCAUUGGACACAUCUCCUGGUAUUGAGGUAUAUGAGUAGGAGGUGAAUAAAUCUAUUGUGGAGCAUAGUUGUGGUUCUCCUCAUUGUACCUGAAUCCCUGCAUUGGAUAACUAGAGGCAAACGAUGAGAUCUCAGGGUUAUUGCUCCUAUAUGACAUAUUCUGGUUUUUAGACCACCCAUGUGUGUAAUUGUUUUGGUAUGAGUUAGGCAGUGGGGCGAAGCUCAUGCCAUAACAAUCGGGAGGAUGGGAGUAACCACACUGACAUUCAGCGGGCGAAUGGCCCUGAAAUCCACAAAUAUGGCAGGUAGGAGCAACAUAAGGAUGGCCUCUGGAAUUAGGAUUGUAAGAACUAGGCCUAUCCUCAAAAACUCCUUCUUGCUGUCGAGCUAAAUCAUCUAAUCGAUGGGAAAUCUUACCUAUCAGUUCUUAAACACUUUCCGUGUUGUUUGUAGUGUUGCUCGCAUAAGCCUGAUGAUCUGAAUAGUAAGCCAUAACCGAGAGGAUAAUCCAACCUGCAAAAAGGAAAAGAAGACAAAAAGAUACUAACUAGAACAGGGGUUAGUGGCUAGAGAUAUAUCACAAAUAUAUAAAGCACAAAAAGGAAACAAGCUAAACCUAGUCUAAAGCCUAGCACAAUCGCUCGAUGCUAGUCCCCGGCAACGGUGCCAAAAUGAUCAGUUGAAAGUACAGUGGGGUUUUUACGCCCAAACUGCGAGUGUCGUGUUCUCCUCAGGGACUAGGCGACGACGACUAUGCUCGACUAAAGCUAGGUGACAGAAUACAAAUGAUGAUUGCAAGGAAAUAAACCUAAACUAAACAUGGUAGUUCCUAAAGAUCAUCGCCAAAGAAAAUGCAAAAUAAGCAAAGAGAUAUUCAGAUUUUCUAUACUCUCUUUUUGGCAAUUUCCAUAUUACUCAAAGAAUUUAAUGCUAACACAAGAAAACAUACGGCUAGGAAAUUAAAAAGACAAGAACAUAUAUAUAACUAUCUAACAUGAACAGUGGGAAGAAACAAGAACUUGAGCUAAUACAUGGACUACAAAACUGAAUAUAUUUCUGCAGAAAAGGGAAGACACUGUGACGACACAUACAUGAACUGGAAUUACGUAAAUUCAGUGCAAGUGACAAGCAUACAUGUACCACACGGUUGACAAAUAUAACAUUCACGAACUUAUUUUAUAUAGAUGCAUGAACUAGUCAGAUCCCAGCAAACAGCUGUUUACAUGUACUCUUCAAAUCUGAACCUUACAAGUCUUGAACAUCUCUCAAUACUAUAGAAUUUCAGAGAGAGAGAGAGAGAGAAGGCAACAGCAGGAGGUUGAGAGAGAAGAAGCAGUAGCAGGGGGCGUUGAGAGGAGGGAGAAGGAGCAGCGGGGCAAAGGAAGAUGGAGUAGCAGCAACGACUUGGAGUUUGGAGAUGGAGAAGGAGCAGAACAACAGCGUGGUAGGGGAAAGUAGAAGAGCAGCAGCAAUAGGGAUUCAGAGAGGAGGCGAGCUUGGAGAAGGAUAGCAGCAGGGAGAGUUGUAGAUGAGCAGCAGCAGUAGCGCGGGGGAGAAGGAGCAGCAGACAGGGAUUCAGAGAAGCGAGGAAGAAGGGAAGAAGAAGCAGCGGCGGUGUGUCUGGCCGGGCACGCCAGCUGGAGGGAGAGGUCGCGCGAGGUGGGCACUGGUGGUUGGCGCUGUGAUGGAUGGAUGAUGGUGUGGGUGGUGGAUGGCGCGGGUGAUGGUGGAGCAACGAGGUCGCCGAAGCGCGUCGCCACGAUGGCCUGGCCGCGGCGGCGGCCGGAGGUGGGAGAAGAAGUGGUGAGGGGGAGAGAGAUGGAGAUGCCAGCUCCCUUUGGGAAUGGAGGCUGCUAGGGAUUUUGAUCCCCUCCGAUCAGAUCUGAAUGUUUUCACUUUGGCCCUCCUCCUUCCUUCUUUUGGCACAAGAUGUUCCCUCCACUUCUUAAGCUAGCCCCCCUAAGCUUUAAUCUUCUUCAAGCUUGAGUCCCUCUUUCUUCUCUUCUUGCCCGUGAUCUUGUUCCUCAAUUCUUUCUAGACAGGAACUUGUAGAUUAUAGUGCCUUGUCGCACUUUUCUGCAAAAGAAACACAAUGACUAGUAAAUGAUUCAUUAUAUGAUUUCCAUGCAAAUAUUCAAUAUUUCACAUCAAGAAUUAAUGGUCAUAUCUCAAUAAACCGCAUAUUUGAGUGCCAAAAGAUGUAUAUGAAAUGUGCUUAUCAAGUUCCCCCACACUUAAAUCUUUGCUUGUCCUCAAGCAAAGGCAUAUGACAAAAGCAAGAACAUGAACAGUGAACUGACUAGAGAAUGUCAAGUGAAGUAGAUCUCUAAACAAUGCAUGCUUUGGACUUGGCUAGUGAAAAUUAAUGGUUAAGAGUGCUACAUAUCAAUAGGACACUAGUAAACUCGACCAUUUUAAACUUUUGCAAUGAUAAACGAAGAUUAGCAAGUUCAAAUGCUGAUUGUGCCAAAGGGUUCCUAAAGAGAGCAUGAUCCCAAAAAAAAACUUAUUACCCGGAACAUAACAUUAUGGUAGAAGCACUUAUUGAAUUUGAAGGAAGUAAUGGUAAUAUUUUAUUGAUCUCACCAAUGGAACAUACCACCGAUCCCAAGAACAUGGUAUACACCCGGCUUGGCCAAUUAUUAGUUUUUUUUAGUUUGUCUCCCCAAAGGAACAUACCACCGAUCCCGAGAACAUGGUGUACACCUGGUUCGACAAUUACAUUUCUAUAAUUAUUAAUUACUGCCCAAGCUAACCUGAUUUCACAUGCCACCGAUCCCGGGAACAUGACAUGCUACUGUAGGUAGCCAGACUUAUUUAUUCAUUAUUACUUAUCUUAAAUGAACAACACAUAAGAACAAAAACAGGAAUCAUCACUUCUCCAUGUCUGGUUCACAUGCUACCGAUCCAGGGAACAUAGCAUGCUAAUCCAUAGUGGUUAGGUGAUUGCUCUCAAUGGGAAGACACUUGGCACAAAUUCAGCAUCUAAACAUGGUGAUCUAGGUGUAUCAUAGUAAAUGCAGAAAAUGACGAAGUUUUCUAGUGUACUAGGGAUUUGAGCACUCAAAACUAGUAGUUCUCACUAAUUUUAGCAAAGCAUGCAUGGUGUAGAUCACUAGUUUACAAGGCAUCCAAAAAUCAAGUUCACAAAUUCACAUCAAGCACAAUGCCAAAGGUGAGAUUCAGCUUGACAACAAGUAAUAACUGGCUCAAGCAACCCAACUAGCAAUUGAAUUCAGCAUGUAUUUAUGAUAUUCAGAAUGGGUCAUGAAACAGCUCACCGGGCUUAAUGAAGUAGCACUCGCUUGAUCACCUCACCAACUGCAGCUCUUCUCCUUUUCCUUCCUUAUGGAUGCUCCAGCUUCACUCUUCUUCGUGUGUGCCCCAUUGCUUCUCCUCAUCGCCAUGCUCUGACUCCACCAGGAUCCCAAGGAAUGUCACCUCAAACCUGGUCAGCAUGUAGUAAACAGUGCAGUAGCAAAAGCCUGAAAUAGGACUCACACAAACAACUAUAAGUGAUACGGUCGAUGCCCUCCAAGUCAUCAAUGGUAUAUCCAAUUAUAUAAGCAUAACUAUAAAGCACAUGUUUAGGAUGGCAGAAAUCAGCAUGGUCAAUACUCACACGAGGAUGACAUUUAUCAUUAAGCUCAAGACUAGCAUGGAAAUGAUGUGUUUCAUUAAGCAUAGGACUAGCACGAGGAAAGUAACUAUGAUCAUCGCAAAUGAGAGUAAUGCCACUAACAGGGUAUAUAUCAUCAUAUCCAAGCAAAUGAGUUUUCAAAUCAAUCUUAAGUGAUGGUAUCAUGUAAUGCAAGGUGGUAGCAAAGAAAUCACAAGGCAUCAUGUCAUCAAGAGGAUUGAGUAAACCUGACACAUCACGCUCUGGUAUGACAAUAGGCAAAUGAAUCUCAUGUUCUUCAUCUUCAUCUACAGCAGCUUCUUGUACUUCUUCAGGAGUAAUAGAUGAUGAGUCUUCAACUUGAUCACUUGGGAAUUGCAGCUCUUGACCAUCUUGUUCCUUGUCUUCUAGUUCAUCUUCUUCAAUCUGAGGUAUCUCUUGCUCAAGGCACUUGCUAUCUUGCUCAACGAAAUGUGAAGGUGCUGGAACCUCACAUGUAACCAUGGAUAUCUCAGCCACACUCAACUCAAGUUGUGAAGAAAUAGUGCUGCCAGCGUUGAUGUUCUUCUCAAUCUUCCUUACUUCUUCCACUAGCUCUUUUCCACUCUUGAUCUUCUUCAUUUCAUCUAGUAUAACCUUCCUAAUAGGAUCAUCCUCGGCACUCCAACUAAACUCGAGACUAAGCAAUGUGAUCUUUCUAUAUCAUCAAAUUCAUCUUGUGUGGGCACUUGCACAUGAGAUUGCUCGAAAGGUGCUGGAGUUGUUGGUUGACCAAAUGGAGGACCAUUUAACUCCAUUGGACACAUCUCCUGGUAUUGAGGUAUAUGAGUAGGAGGUGAAUAAAUCUAUUGUGGAGCAUAGUUGUGGUUCUCCUCAUUGUACCUGAAUCCCUGCAUUGGAUAACUAGAGGCAAACGAUGAGAUCUCAGGGUUAUUGCUCCUAUAUGACAUAUUCUGGUUUUUAGGCCACCCAUGUGUGUAAUUGUUUUGGUAUGAGUUAGGCAGUGGGGCGAAGCUCAUGCCAUAACAAUCGGGAGGAUGGGAGUAACCACACUGACAUUCAGCGGGCGAAUGGCCCUGAAAUCCACAAAUAUGGCAGGUAGGAGCAACAUAAGGAUGGCCUCUGGAAUUAGGAUCGUAAGAACUAGGCCUAUCCUCAAAAACUCCUUCUCGCUGUCGAGCUAAAUCAUCUAAUCGAUGGGAAAUCUUACCUAUCAGUUCUUAAACACUUUCCGUGUUGUUUGUAGUGUUGCUCGCAUAAGCCUGAUGAUCUGAAUAGUAAGCCAUAACCGAGAGGAUAAUCCAACCUGCAAAAAGGAAAAGAAGACAAAAAGAUACUAACUAGAACAGGGGUUAGUGGCUAGAGAUAUAUCACAAAUAUAUAAAGCACAAAAAGGAAACAAGCUAAACCUAGUCUAAAGCCUAGCACAAUCGCUCGAUGCUAGUCCCCGGCAACGGUGCCAAAAUGAUCAGUUGAAAGUACAGUGGGGUUUUUACGCCCAAACUGCGAGUGUCGUGUUCUCCUCAGGGACUAGGCGACAAUGACUAUGCUCGACUAAAGCUAGGUGACAGAAUACAAAUGAUGAUUGCAAGGAAAUAAACCUAAACUAAACAUGGUAGUUCCUAAAGAUCAUCGCCAAAGAAAAUGCAAAAUAAGCAAAGAGAUAUUCAGAUUUUCUAUACUCUCUUUUUGGCAAUUUCCAUAUUACUCAAAGAAUUUAAUGCUAACACAAGAAAACAUACGGCUAGGAAAUUAAAAAGACAAGAACAUAUAUAUAACUAUCUAACAUGAACAGUGGGAAGAAACAAGAACUUGAGCUAAUACAUGGACUACAAAACUGAAUAUAUUUCUGCAGAAAAGGGAAGACACUGUGACGACACAUACAUGAACUGGAAUUACGUAAAUUCAGUGCAAGUGACAAGCAUACAUGUACCACACGGUUGACAAAUAUAACAUUCACGAACUUAUUUUAUAUAGAUGCAUGAACUAGUCAGAUCCCAGAAAACAAACACUAUAUUAUACAAGUACUAAACAGAGCAAACAGCUGUUUACAUGUACUCUUCAAAUCUGAACCUUACAAGUCUUGAACAUCUCUCAAUACUAUAGAAUUUCAGAGAGAGAGAGAGAGAAGGCAACAGCAGGAGGUUGAGAGAGAAGAAGCAGUAGCAGGGGGCGUUGAGAGGAGGGAGAAGGAGCAGCGGGGCAAAGGAAGAUGGAGUAGCAGCAACGACUUGGAGUUUGGAGAUGGAGAAGGAGCAGAACAACAGCGUGGUAGGGGAAAGUAGAAGAGCAGCAGCAAUAGGGAUUCAGAGAGGAGGCGAGCUUGGAGAAGGAUAGCAGCAGGGAGAGUUGUAGAUGAGCAGCAGCAGUAGCGCGGGGGAGAAGGAGCAGCAGACAGGGAUUCAGAGAAGCGAGGAAGAAGGGAAGAAGAAGCAGCGGCGGUGUGUCUGGCCGGGCACGCCAGCUGGAGGGAGAGGUCGCGCGAGGUGGGCACUGGUGGUUGGCGCUGUGAUGGAUGGAUGAUGGUGUGGGUGGUGGAUGGCGCGGGUGAUGGUGGAGCAACGAGGUCGCCGAAGCGCGUCGCCACGAUGGCCUGGCCGCGGCGGCGGCCGGAGGUGGGAGAAGAAGUGGUGAGGGGGAGAGAGAUGGAGAUGCCAGCUCCCUUUGGGAAUGGAGGCUGCUAGGGAUUUUGAUCCCCUCCGAUCAGAUCUGAAUGUUUUCACUUUGGCCCUCCUCCUUCCUUCUUUUGGCACAAGAUGAUCCCUCCACUUCUUAAGCUAGCCCCCCUAAGCUUUAAUCUUCUUCAAGCUUGAGUCCCUCUUUCUUCUCUUCUUGCCCGUGAUCUUGUUCCUCAAUUCUUUCUAGACAGGAACUUGUAGAUUAUAGUGCCUUGUCGCACUUUUCUGCAAAAGAAACACAAUGACUAGUAAAUGAUUCAUUAUAUGAUUUCCAUGCAAAUAUUCAAUAUUUCACAUCAAGAAUUAAUGGUCAUAUCUCAAUAAACCGCAUAUUUGAGUGCCAAAAGAUGUAUAUGAAAUGUGCUUAUCAAGUUCCCCCACACUUAAAUCUUUGCUUGUCCUCAAGCAAAGGCAUAUGACAAAAGCAAGAACAUGAACAGUGAACUGACUAGAGAAUGUCAAGUGAAGUAGAUCUCUAAACAAUGCAUGCUUUGGACUUGGCUAGUGAAAAUUAACGGUUAAGAGUGCUACAUAUCAAUAGGACACUAGUAAACUCGACCAUUUUAAACUUUUGCAAUGAUAAACGAAGAUUAGCAAGUUCAAAUGCUGAUUGUGCCAAAGGGUUCCUAAAGAGAGCAUGAUCCCAAAAAAAACUUAUUACCCGGAACAUAACAUUAUGGUAGAAGCACUUAUUGAAUUUGAAGGAAGUAAUGGUAAUAUUUUAUUGAUCUCACCAAUGGAACAUACCACCGAUCCCGAGAACAUGGUAUACACCCGGCUUGGCCAAUUAUUAGUUUUUUUUAGUUUGUCUCCCCAAAGGAACAUACCACCGAUCCCGAGAACAUGGUAUACACCUGGUUCGACAAUUACAUUUCUAUAAUUAUUAAUUACUGCCCAAGCUAACCUGAUUUCACAUGCCACCGAUCCCGGGAACAUGACAUGCUACUGUAGGUAGCCAGACUUAUUUAUUCAUUAUUACUUAUCUUAAAUGAACAACACAUAAGAACAAAAACAGGAAUCAUCACUUCUCCAUGUCUGGUUCACAUGCUACCGAUCCAGGGAACAUAGCAUGCUAAUCCAUAGUGGUUAGGUGAUUGCUCUCAAUGGGAAGACACUUGGCACAAAUUCAGCAUCUAAACAUGGUGAUCUAGGUGUAUCAUAGUAAAUGCAGAAAAUGACGAAGUUUUCUAGUGUACUAGGGAUUUGAGCACUCAAAACUAGUAGUUCUCACUAAUUUUAGCAAAGCAUGCAUGGUGUAGAUCACUAGUUUACAAGGCAUCCAAAAAUCAAGUUCACAAAUUCACAUCAAGCACAAUGCCAAAGGUGAGAUUCAGCUUGACAACAAGUAAUAACUGGCUCAAGCAACCCAACUAGCAAUUGAAUUCAGCAUGUAUUUAUGAUAUUCAGAAUGGGUCAUGAAACAGCUCACCGGGCUUAAUGAAGUAGCACUCGCUUGAUCACCUCACCAACUGCAGCUCUUCUCCUUUUCCUUCCUUAUGGAUGCUCCAGCUUCACUCUUCUUCGUGUGUGCCCCAUUGCUUCUCCUCAUCGCCAUGCUCUGACUCCACCAGGAUCCCAAGGAAUGUCACCUCAAACCUGGUCAGCAUGUAGUAAACAGUGCAGUAGCAAAAGCCUGAAAUAGGACUCACACAAACAACUAUAAGUGAUACGGUCGAUGCCCUCCAAGUCAUCAAUGGUAUAUCCAAUUAUAUAAGCAUAACUAUAAAGCACAUGUUUAGGAUGGCAGAAAUCAGCAUGGUCAAUACUCACACGAGGAUGACAUUUAUCAUUAAGCUCAAGACUAGCAUGGAAAUGAUGUGUUUCAUUAAGCAUAGGACUAGCACGAGGAAAGUAACUAUGAUCAUCGCAAAUGAGAGUAAUGCCACUAACAGGGUAUAUAUCAUCAUAUCCAAGCAAAUGAGUUUUCAAAUCAAUCUUAAGUGAUGGUAUCAUGUAAUGCAAGGUGGUAGCAAAGAAAUCACAAGGCAUCAUGUCAUCAAGAGGAUUGAGUAAACCUGACACAUCACGCUCUGGUAUGACAAUAGGCAAAUGAAUCUCAUGUUCUUCAUCUUCAUCUACAGCAGCUUCUUGUACUUCUUCAGAAGUAAUAGAUGAUGAGUCUUCAACUUGAUCACUUGGGAAUUGCAGCUCUUGACCAUCUUGUUCCUUGUCUUCUAGUUCAUCUUCUUCAAUCUGAGGUAUCUCUUGCUCAAGGCACUUGCUAUCUUCCUCAACGAAAUGUGAAGGUGCUGGAACCUCACAUGUAACCAUGGAUAUCUCAGCCACACUCAACUCAAGUUGUGAAGAAAUAGUGCUGCCAGCGUUGAUGUUCUUCUCAAUCUUCCUUACUUCUUCCACUAGCUCUUUUCCACUCUUGAUCUUCUUCAUUUCAUCUAGUAUAACCUUCCUAAUAGGAUCAUCCUCGGCACUCCAACUAAACUCGAGACUAAGCAAUGUGAUCUUUCUAUAUCAUCAAAUUCAUCUUGUGUGGGCACUUGCACAUGAGAUUGCUCGAAAGGUGCUGGAGUUGUUGGUUGACCAAAUGGAGGACCAUUUAACUCCAUUGGACACAUCUCCUGGUAUUGAGGUAUAUGAGUAGGAGGUGAAUAAAUCUAUUGUGGAGCAUAGUUGUGGUUCUCCUCAUUGUACCUGAAUCCCUGCAUUGGAUAACUAGAGGCAAACGAUGAGAUCUCAGGGUUAUUGCUCCUAUAUGACAUAUUCUGGUUUUUAGGCCACCCAUGUGUGUAAUUGUUUUGGUAUGAGUUAGGCAGUGGGGCGAAGCUCAUGCCAUAACAAUCGGGAGGAUGGGAGUAACCACACUGACAUUCAGCGGGCGAAUGGCCCUGAAAUCCACAAAUAUGGCAGGUAGGAGCAACAUAAGGAUGGCCUCUGGAAUUAGGAUCGUAAGAACUAGGCCUAUCCUCAAAAACUCCUUCUCGCUGUCGAGCUAAAUCAUCUAAUCGAUGGGAAAUCUUACCUAUCAGUUCUUAAACACUUUCCGUGUUGUUUGUAGUGUUGCUCGCAUAAGCCUGAUGAUCUGAAUAGUAAGCCAUAACCGAGAGGAUAAUCCAACCUGCAAAAAGGAAAAGAAGACAAAAAGAUACUAACUAGAACAGGGGUUAGUGGCUAGAGAUAUAUCACAAAUAUAUAAAGCACAAAAAGGAAACAAGCUAAACCUAGUCUAAAGCCUAGCACAAUCGCUCGACGCUAGUCCCCGGCAACGGCGCCAAAAUGAUCAAUUGAAAGUACAGUGGGGUUUUUACGCCCAAACUGCGAGUGUCGUGUUCUCCUCAGGGACUAGGCGACGACGACUAUGCUCGACUAAAGCUAGGUGACAGAAUACAAAUGAUGAUUGCAAGGAAAUAAACCUAAACUAAACAUGGUAGUUCCUGAAGAUCAUCGCCAAAGAAAAUGCAAAAUAAGCAAAGAGAUAUUCAGAUUUUCUAUACUCUCUUUUUGGCAAUUUCCAUAUUACUCAAAGAAUUUAAUGCUAACACAAGAAAACAUACGGCUAGGAAAUUAAAAAGACAAGAACAUAUAUAUAACUAUCUAACAUGAACAGUGGGAACAAACAAGAACUUGAGCUAAUACAUGGACUACAAAACUGAAUAUAUUUCUGCAGAAAAGGGAAGACACUGUGACGACGCAUACAUGAACUGGAAUUACGUAAAUUCAGUGCAAGUGACAAGCAUACAUGUACCACACGGUUGACAAAUAUAACAUUCACGAACUUAUUUUAUAUAGAUGCAUCAACUAGUCAGAUCCCAGAAAACAAACACUAUAUUAUACAAGUACUAAACAGAGCAAACAGCAGUUUACAUGUACUCUUCAAAUCUGAACCUUACAAGUCUUGAACAUCUCUCAAUAGUAUAGAAUUUGAGAGAGAGAGAGAGAGAGAGAGAAGGCAACAGCAGGAGGUUGAGAGAGAAGAAGCAGUAGCAGGGGGCGUUGAGAGGAGGGAGAAGGAGCAGCGGGGCAAAGGAAGAUGGAGUAGCAGCAACAACUUGGAGUUUGGAGAUGGAGAAGGAGCAGAACAGCAGCGUGGUAGGGGAAAGUAGAAGAGCAGCAACAGUAGGGAUUCAGAGAGGAGGCGAGCUUGGACAAGGAUAGCAGCAGGGAGAGUUGUAGACGAGCAACAGCAGUAGCGCAGGGGAGAAGGAGCAGCAGACAGGGAUUCAUAGAAGCGGGGAAGAAGGGAAGAAGAAGCAGCGGCGGUGUGUCUGGCCGGGCGCGCCGGCUGGAGGGAGAGGUCGCGUGAGGUUGGCACUGGUGGCUGGCGCUGUGAUGGAUGGAUGAUGGUGUGGGUGGUGGAUGGCGCGGGUGAUGGUGGAGCAACGAGGUCGCGGAAGCGCGCCGCCAUGAUGGCCUGGCCGCGGCGGCGGCCGGAGGUGGGAGAAGAAGUGGUGAGGGGGAGAGAGAUGGAGAUGCCAGCUCCCUUUGGGAAUGGAGGCUGCUAGGGAUUUUGAUCCCCUCCGAUCAGAUCUGAAUGUUUUCACUUUGGCCCUCCUUCUUCCUUCUUUUGGCACAAGAUGAUCCCUCCACUUCUUAAGCUAGCCCCCCUAAGCUUUAAUCUUCUUCAAGCUUGAGUCCCUCUUUCUUCUCUUCUUGCCCGUGAUCUUGUUCCUCAAUUCUUUCUAGACAGGAACUUGUAGAUUAUAGUGCCUUGUCGCACUUUUCUGCAAAAGAAACACAAUGACUAGUAAAUGAUUCAUUAUAUGAUUUCCAUGCAAAUAUUCAAUAUUUCACAGCAAGAAUUGAUGGUCAUAUCUCAAUAAACCGCAUAUUUGAGUGCCAAAAGAUGUAUAUGAAAUGUGCUUAUCA